This 253-nucleotide ribosomal RNA is filed under the name uncultured bacterium. Its description in RNAcentral is "partial 16S ribosomal RNA". It matches the Rfam family "Bacterial small subunit ribosomal RNA", at positions 524 to 776 of the family's 1533-position model. The record is from RNAcentral.
UACGUAGGGACCAAGCGUUGUUCGGAUUUACUGGGCGUAAAGGGCGCGUAGGCGGCUUGACAAGUCACUUGUGAAAUCUCCGGGCUUAACUCGGAACGGCCAAGUGAAACCGUCAUGCUAGAGUGCAGAAGGGGCAAUCGGAAUUCUCGGUGUAGCGGUGAAAUGCGUAGAUAUCGAGAGGAACACCUGCGGCGAAGGCGGGUUGCUGGGCUGAUACUGACGCUGAGGCGCGAAAGCCAGGGGAGCGAACGGG